RNAcentral lists this transfer RNA (30 nucleotides) under Bellis perennis. RNAcentral describes it as "partial tRNA-Phe". Lineage: Eukaryota; Viridiplantae; Streptophyta; Magnoliopsida; Asterales; Asteraceae. The record is from RNAcentral.
UUGGGAUAGCUCAGUGAGAGCAGGACGGCG